Non-coding RNA from Nylanderia fulva, 461 nucleotides. NCBI's taxonomy places the organism in Eukaryota, Metazoa, Arthropoda, Insecta, Hymenoptera, Formicidae. The record is from RefSeq and is a predicted model, not a curated record.
AUUUUAUAAUAAAGAACAGAACGUCUACAGUGUGGAAAACGUCUCUCGUGUACAUCAAACACACAUCUGUGCUCUUCGUAAUCGGCAGACGCAUUUCUUGUACUGCGAAAAGCAAGGAAUUAAUUACGCGAAUAGUUUAAUGCAAUCACUUUAAUUUACAUUCCUUUUUUGUGUUUUGUUUCUCAUAAUGUCUGAUUGUAAGAUAACGUACUUACCAGAGGAGAUGAUAAGCCACAUUCUCGACGAUAAUGUACUCACUAUUGAAGAUAUCAUCAACUUUUGAUGCGUGUGCAAACAAUUUCGUUAUGCAGCCACAUAUGACAAAAUCUUGGAAAAAAAGUUAUCUCAAAGAUGGCCCUUUACGAAGAAAAGAUAUGAAAGUCUUAAAGAAGAAGAAAAUGAAGAAAACAUAAACUUUGUUACAGGCUUCCGGUUCCGUUUAUUAUAGGUACGUUGAUGAU